UGACCAUGAGUUUAACGGCCGCGGUAUUUUGACCGUGCGAAGGUAGCGCAAUCACUUGUCUUUUAAAUGGAGACCUGUAUGAAUGGCAUAACGAGGGCUUAACUGUCUCCUUUUUCCAGUCAAUGAAAUUGAUCUUCCCGUGCAGAAGCGGGAAUAGCACCAUAAGACGAGAAGACCCUGUGGAGCUUUAGACACCAAGACAGACCAUGUUAAGCACCCCUCCUAAGGGAUUAAACUCAUUGGACACCUGCUCUAAUGUCUUUGGUUGGGGCGACCUCGGAGAAACAUAAAACCUCCAUGUGGAAUAGGAGUACUACACUCCCUAAACCAAGAGCAACGCUCGAAUUAACAGAAUUUCUGACCAAUCUUUUUUAAACAGAUCCGGCCACCCACGCCGAUCAACGGACCGAGUUACCCCAGGGAUAACAGCGCAAUCCUCUUUUAGAGCCCAUAUCGACAAGAGGGUUUACGACCUCGAU
Molecule: ribosomal RNA, 479 nt
Filed under: Dascyllus flavicaudus (black damselfish)
Lineage: Eukaryota; Metazoa; Chordata; Actinopteri; Pomacentridae
Description: partial 16S ribosomal RNA
Rfam family: Bacterial large subunit ribosomal RNA
Source: RNAcentral